GUCGUAACAAGGUAGCCGUAUCGGAAGGUGCGGCUGGAUCACCUCCUUUCUAAGGAUUUUUAUAUGACGUACGUUUUGAUACUUUGUUCAGUUUUGAGAGUUCAAUCUCUCAAUUAUAGAAAGCACACUACUUUCUUCUUAUUCAAUAAGAAGAAUUUUGGUUGCGAUUGUUCUUUGAAAACUAGAUAACAGUAAUUGCUGAGGAAAAGUGAAACUUUUCUUUAAUCAAACCAAUAAAUAACACAACAUUAUGUUGUACCAUUUAUUCGCUAAUGGUUAAGUUAGAAAGGGCGCACGGUGAAUGCCUUGGCACUAGGAGCCGAUGAAGGACGGGACUA
RNAcentral lists this unclassified non-coding RNA (338 nucleotides) under Priestia megaterium. RNAcentral's name for it is "Bacillus megaterium partial contains 16S ribosomal RNA, 16S-23S ribosomal RNA intergenic spacer, and 23S ribosomal RNA". The record is from RNAcentral. Lineage: Bacteria; Bacillati; Bacillota; Bacilli; Caryophanales; Bacillaceae.